RNAcentral lists this ribosomal RNA (719 nucleotides) under uncultured bacterium. RNAcentral's name for it is "bacterial SSU rRNA". It matches the Rfam family "Bacterial small subunit ribosomal RNA", at positions 8 to 725 of the family's 1533-position model. The record is from RNAcentral.
AGAGUUUGAUCCUGGCUCAGGAUGAACGCUGGCGGCGUGCCUAACACAUGCAAGUCGAGCGCGAUUGGUUGGAACGGAGACUUCGGUCAAAGAGAAGACUAUGAAAGCGGCGGACGGGUGAGUAACGCGUGAGCAACCUGCCCUGUACAGGGGGAUAGCCACUGGAAACGGUGAUUAAUACCCCAUAACCCCAAAGGAUCGCAUGGUCUAAUGGGCAAAGCCUUGGCGGUACAGGAUGGGCUCGCGUCUGAUUAGCUAGUUGGUGAGGUAACGGCUCACCAAGGCGACGAUCAGUAGCCGACCUGAGAGGGUGAACGGCCACACUGGAACUGAGACACGGUCCAGACUCCUACGGGAGGCAGCAGUGGGGAAUAUUGCACAAUGGGCGCAAGCCUGAUGCAGCAACGCCGCGUGAGUGAAGAAGGCCUUCGGGUCGUAAAACUCUGUCCUAAGGGAAGAAGAAGUGACGGUACCUUAGGAGGAAGCCCCGGCUAACUACGUGCCAGCAGCCGCGGUAAUACGUAGGGGGCAAGCGUUAUCCGGAAUCACUGGGCGUAAAGGGUGCGUAGGCGGCUGAUCAAGCCAGGGGUGAAAGGCUGUGGCUUAACCAUGGUAAGCCUUUGGAACUGGUCAGCUUGAGUGCAGGAGAGGAAAGCGGAAUUCCUAGUGUAGCGGUGAAAUGCGUAGAUAUUAGGAGGAACACCCGUGGCGAAGGCGGC